This 483-nucleotide ribosomal RNA is filed under the name uncultured bacterium. Its description in RNAcentral is "partial 16S ribosomal RNA". It matches the Rfam family "Bacterial small subunit ribosomal RNA", at positions 28 to 523 of the family's 1533-position model. The record is from RNAcentral.
GACGAACGCUGGCGGCGUGCUUAACACAUGCAAGUCGAACGAUGAAGCUGGAGCUUGCUCCGGUGGAUUAGUGGCGAACGGGUGAGUAACACGUGAGCAAUCUGCCCUUGACUCUGGGAUAACUGCGGGAAACUGUAGCUAAUACCGGAUACGACACCUUGGGGCAUCCCAGGGUGUGGAAAGAAUUUCGGUCAAGGAUGAGCUCGCGGCCUAUCAGCUAGUUGGUGGGGUAAUGGCUCACUAAGGCGACGACGGGUAGCCGGCCUGAGAGGGUGACCGGCCACACUGGAACUGAGACACGGUCCAGACUCCUACGGGAGGCAGCAGUGGGGAAUAUUGCACAAUGGGCGAAAGCCUGAUGCAGCAACGCCGCGUGAGGGAUGAAGGCCUUCGGGUUGUAAACCUCUUUUAGCAGGGAAGAAGCGAAAGUGACGGUACCUGCAGAAAAAGCACCGGCUAACUACGUGCCAGCCGCCGCCGUAA